GGAAGGUCGGCGCGGGCGGUAGCUUCGCCAAUCCGGUCAGGGCCGAGAGGCAGCAGCCGUAACGAAUUUGCUCCGGGUCGCGUCCGGCCUUCCACC
RNAcentral lists this signal recognition particle RNA (96 nucleotides) under Micavibrio aeruginosavorus. RNAcentral's name for it is "signal recognition particle sRNA small type". It matches the Rfam family "Bacterial small signal recognition particle RNA". Rfam says of the family: The signal recognition particle (SRP) is a universally conserved ribonucleoprotein involved in the co-translational targeting of proteins to membranes. The record is from RNAcentral. Lineage: Bacteria; Pseudomonadati; Bdellovibrionota; Bdellovibrionia; Bdellovibrionales; Pseudobdellovibrionaceae.